CGCCUCUCCAUCGAGUCCACUACCUUCUCUUUAAUGAAACGUCACGUUUUCCAUUAGGUAUAUCGUGUUCGUCUCUUUCCCGUAUUCAGAGCAAUGGCGAUUAGAGUUUUGAAUACGAUCUUUCAUCUUCUUCUUUACUGUUUCGGUGUAUUCCUCUUUAAACCCACCAUUAAUCGAUCAUCCAGGAUCUACAUUCAAUGCGAGUUUUUGUUAUGCAAAGGCUGGGGCCCGACUAUAAAAAGUGACCAUGAUGCCGGCAACCGCAAAUGUCAACCGGCUUGCGACACACCGACCUAAAGCGGGUUCAGUCUAUUCUCUUGCCUCUGCUUUUCUUUAUGGAUAAGCCGUUUCAGGAGAAAUUGUCAUCCAAGAGAAGCAAGCAUGAUAAAGCUGGAAGCAAUAAAAACCUAAUAGAGAAGUGUGAUGGUAAAAGCCUCCAGAUAUCAAUUGUUUACAGAUUCAUCCUUUCAUCUUCUCCGCCAUAAUGAAAUGCUUGCUCAAGCAAGCACCAGCAGUCAACUCCCGGGAUUUCUAUGAGUGCCAACAUCCAGAUGAGAAACAUAUGAUGCAACUUAGCAGAUAGUUAUAUUUAGCUCCAAGAUAAGUUUUGGUUUCAGAAUUGAAGAACAGUAGAACACCAAAAAAGGCACAACCCGAGAGAACUGAUAAUUGUACACUCAAGUAAGAGAAUGAUAUGAUGGAUUCAUUGCGAAAACAUUGCUACUAGAUAAGUUAUCAAACACACCAUUUACCAUAUUGUUUUCACUAAUGCAGUGACACUUGUGGAGAUGCUCAUAGACUCUAUGAGUAACCAACUUGAACUUUAUAUUCUACACAUAUGGUUCGUUGUUUGCCUCAUAGUUCUUUUUCAUUAAUUUACAGGUCAAAGCUGCAUAGCUUUUUCCUUCAGUCGUUGCAGCAUCUAAAACUCCUGCAAUGGUUUAACUUAUAUUGCGUGGAAACCAAGAGAUGCCUUACAUUUGACAACAACAUGAUCUGAAGGCGGUGGAGUGAUUCCGGAAGAUCAGAGACCUGAUUGUUUCUGUUCUGUAUUUUGGAGCAACACUCUGUUUUUUGUCCCUAUGAUAUGUCUAAGAAAACUUUUCGUUAUAUAAUUUGUGUGCAUUGUGAAUAUAUAUGAAUAUUGAUGGAAAUGUGAAAUACAAAACAUUUUAAUAAGACGUGCUAAA
Long non-coding RNA from Raphanus sativus (radish), 1190 nucleotides. RefSeq lists it as uncharacterized. Lineage: Eukaryota; Viridiplantae; Streptophyta; Magnoliopsida; Brassicales; Brassicaceae. The record is from RefSeq and is a predicted model, not a curated record. The transcript is spliced from 5 exons.